RNAcentral lists this long non-coding RNA (1178 nucleotides) under Equus asinus (donkey). RNAcentral's name for it is "lncRNA (ENSEASG00005028994.1)". The record is from RNAcentral. Lineage: Eukaryota; Metazoa; Chordata; Mammalia; Perissodactyla; Equidae.
UUGGGUCAUAAGAAGCCUUGUAGCUUCUGCCUUCGUCUUUUAGAACUCUCACUCUGUGGGAAGCCGGGUGCCAUGUAAAGUCUGCUACCCUGAGACUGCCAUGCUGGGAGGAAGCCCAAGCUGGCCAUGUGGGGAGGCCCACGACGAGAGAGUCCCGCCAGUCCCGCUGUUCGUGUCAUCUCAGCUGAGGCAUCAGACGUGAUAAUGAUGGAUGGAGAUGACGAUUAAACGACUCCAGCCCCCGCCUCCACCUGACUCGGACUCUCAGAGAGACCCCGGAUGACACUGCCCAGCCGAGCCUGGUCAGCUCAGACUGUAUGUAGGAUGUCAUCUGAAGUCGUUGGCCACUGCACUUUGAGGAAUUCUUUAGGGUUCCCUGGUGACCCUGAAGUAUGGUGCCCUAGAGGAAAGACAGGGGAAUGGUGAGUCCUUUCCUCUUCACUGGUGGCCUCCGUUACAGCAGCGACCUGGCCCUUCCUGGAUUUGUGGCCCACAUCAAGGCAGGAGAGAGAGAAGAAGGCUGAGGAAGGUGACAGCAGACGUGGUUUCCAAGGAAACAGGAAGCAAUCACCAGGCCCUCUGAGGAUCAUUAUUUCUUUGUCCUGCUAAAAGCCAGAUGCUCCCACCUUCUAAGCCAGCUCAGACGGUUGAGCAGGCACCAAAAUGGGUCCCCAGGGAGGAGACAAGGGGCUGGGGGAGCCUAUGGAGGGGGCGCUACUCCCUCUGCUGGACCCCCUUCCUCUCACGAGGCCUCCCCUUCCUCACAAAGACAUGCCCUUCCCCCAAAUCUCCUUAGGCCGCGAGGGGAGCCUAGUGUUUGAUGAGGAAUACACGGGAAGUUGUCUUCUCUGGAGCUCCAAGCACAGGACGUCUUUGCUCGGAGUCUGUCCCGGGAUUCAUCGGCGAGGAUUCCAGCCUGUGGACCCGCCUGGUCCCGGGUGGAGGGAUGGCUGGCCUGAGUGCCGAAUGCUCCAGAAAUAAACCGAGCAAUGACACUGUGUCCAGCGCUCAGACACCGUGAUCUGAGGUGGCCGAGGUGCAAGACCUCCCUGGAGCCGUCAAGAAUCACCAUCUAAGGGGCACUUCUUUGGGGCCACACGUGACACGGGGCGGGCUGGAGCUGUAGGCACGGGUUCUCACAACCCCUCAGAGAACCCCCUGAAGGGGACGCUGUCUUC